CCCGGCGAUUAUGACGGCGGGGAAACACCCGUUCCCAUUCCGAACACGGCAGUUAAGCCCGUUCGUGCCGAUGGUACUGCCAGGGCAGCCUGGUGGGAGAGUAGGUCGUCGCCGGGU
Molecule: ribosomal RNA, 117 nt
Filed under: Candidatus Aminicenantota bacterium
Lineage: Bacteria; Candidatus Aminicenantota
Source: RNAcentral